GAUGAACGCUGGCGGCGUGCCUAAUACAUGCAAGUCGAACGAGGUGCUUUUGUAGCAAUACGAGAGUAUCCUAGUGGCGAACGGGUGAGUAACGCGUGGAUGACCUGCCCCAAAGUGUGGGAUAACAGUCCGAAAGGAUUGCUAAUACCUCAUGUGGUUAUCGGUUUUAGAAAGCGAUAACUAAAGCAGCAAUGCGCUUUGGGAGGGAUCUGCGUCCCAUCAGCUAGUUGGUGAGGUAACGGCUCACCAAGGCGACGACGGGUAGGGGACCUGAGAGGGUGGCCCCCCANAAUGGAACUGAAACACGGUCCAUACACCUACGGGUGGCAGCAGUAGGGAAUAUUGCUCAAUGGGCGAAAGCCUGAAGCAGCAACGCCGCGUGUGCGAUGAAGGCCUU
Molecule: ribosomal RNA, 397 nt
Filed under: uncultured bacterium
Lineage: Bacteria
Description: bacterial SSU rRNA
Rfam family: Bacterial small subunit ribosomal RNA
Source: RNAcentral